This 206-nucleotide ribosomal RNA is filed under the name uncultured bacterium. RNAcentral describes it as "partial 16S ribosomal RNA". It matches the Rfam family "Bacterial small subunit ribosomal RNA", at positions 1295 to 1500 of the family's 1533-position model. The record is from RNAcentral.
AGACUGCAGGCUGCAACUCGCCUGCACGAAGUCGGAAUUGCUAGUAAUCGCGGAUCAGAAUGCCGCGGUGAAUACGUUCCCGGGCCUUGUACACACCGCCCGUCACACCAUGGGAGUCGGUAACACCCGAAGUCGGUGGUCUAACCGCAAGGAGGACGCCGCCGAAGGUGGGAUUGAUGACUGGGGUGAAGUCGUAACAAGGUACC